AUUGAACGCUGGCGGAAUGCUUUACACAUGCAAGUCGAACGGCAGCACGGACUUCGGUCUGGUGGCGAGUGGCGAACGGGUGAGUAAUAUAUCGGAACGUGCCCAGUCGUGGGGGAUAACGUAGCGAAAGUUACGCUAAUACCGCAUACGAUCUACGGAUGAAAGCGGGGGAUCGCAAGACCUCGCGCGAUUGGAGCGGCCGAUAUCAGAUUAGGUAGUUGGCGGGGUAAAGGCUCACCAAGCCAACGAUCUGUAGCUGGUCUGAGAGGACGACCAGCCACACUGGAACUGAGACACGGUCCAGACUCCUACGGGGGGCAGCAGUGGGGAAUUUUGGACAAUGGACGCAAGUCUGAUCCAGCCAUUCCGCGUGCAGGAUGAAGGCCCUCGGGUUGUAAACUGCUUUUGUACAGAACGAAAAGGCUCUUCCUAAUACGGAGGGCUCAUGACGGUACUGUAAGAAUAAGCACCGGCUAACUACGUGCCAGCAGCCGCAGUAA
Molecule: ribosomal RNA, 500 nt
Filed under: uncultured bacterium
Lineage: Bacteria
Description: partial 16S ribosomal RNA
Rfam family: Bacterial small subunit ribosomal RNA
Source: RNAcentral